Molecule: ribosomal RNA, 476 nt
Filed under: uncultured bacterium
Lineage: Bacteria
Description: bacterial SSU rRNA
Rfam family: Bacterial small subunit ribosomal RNA
Source: RNAcentral
AUUGAACGCUGGCGGCAUGCCUUACACAUGCAAGUCGAACGGCAGCGGACCUUCGGGUGCCGGCGAGUGGCGAACGGGUGAGUAAUAUAUCGGAACGUACCUUUCAGUGGGGGAUAACGUAGCGAAAGUUACGCUAAUACCGCAUAUUCUGUGAGCAGGAAAGCAGGGGAUCGCAAAACCUUGCGCUGAUUGAGCGGCCGAUAUCAGAUUAGCUAGUUGGUGAGGUAAAGGCUCACCAAGGCGACGAUCUGUAGCGGGUCUGAGAGGAUGAUCCGCCACACUGGAACUGAGACACGGUCCAGACUCCUACGGGAGGCAGCAGUGGGGAAUUUUGGACAAUGGGCGCAAGCCUGAUCCAGCCAUGCCGCGUGAGUGAUGAAGGCCUUAGGGUUGUAAAGCUCUUUAUCAGGGAAGAUGAUGACGGUACCUGAAGAAUAAGCACCGGCUAACUUCGUGCCAGCAGCCGCGGUAAUGUG